AACGAACGCUGGCGGCAUGCCUAACACAUGCAAGUCGAACGAGACCUUCGGGUCUAGUGGCGCACGGGUGCGUAACGCGAGGGAACCUGCCCUUAGGUUCGGAAUACCUCCCCGAAAGGGGUGCUAAUACCGGAUAAUGUCUUCGGACCAAAGUUUUAUCGCCUUUGGAUGGGCACGCGUUAGAUUAGCUAGUUGGUAGGGUAAAAGCCUACCAAGGCGACGAUCCAUAGCUGGUCUGGGAGGAUGAUCAGCCACACUGGGACUGAGACACGGCCCAGACUCCUACGGGAGGCAGCAGUGGGGAAUAUUGGACAAUGGGCGAAAGCCUGAUCCAGCAAUGCCGCGUGAGUGAUGAAGGCCUUAGGGUUGUAAAGCUCUUUUACCCGGGAUGAUAAUGACAGUACCGGGAGAAUAAGCGCCGGCUAACUCCGUG
RNAcentral lists this ribosomal RNA (433 nucleotides) under uncultured bacterium. RNAcentral's name for it is "partial 16S ribosomal RNA". It matches the Rfam family "Bacterial small subunit ribosomal RNA", at positions 29 to 507 of the family's 1533-position model. The record is from RNAcentral.